AUGACGAUUUUUGCUAUGGUCUGGGAAUGCAGAUAGCUAAGACAACAGGAGGUAAUAUAAAUGCAUAAAACAGAUGGUGAUAUAAAUGCAUAGUAAAAUUUCUCUACAACAACACUUAAUAUGAAACGGAGGAAGUAUAUGUUACUCAAGCUUUAGAAAUCUUUAAGUGAUAUAAAUGCAUAAAACAGAAGUAGCACGAAUAGAUCAAUGUCGCUGAUAAUUAGAAACAAAACAAAUCCAUAAGAAAGAAAAUUAAACCACAAGAUUCAGAAAUGGUCUAGGCAUCAGACUUCAGCAAAAAUAAAUAUAAAAACAAAGAGAGCAAAGACCCCGCGAUCAGCCACGGAUUUAUUGCCGAAACAUCAGAUUCUCAACAUGGUUUGGGAAGGUGAAGACUUCACCAUGGUGUGCAGCUGGAUCCAUAAAGACCUUCUCUUCAAUUCCUUGGAUCUCAACUCUUCUAACACUCUUUCUCUCCACAUUGUAAUAGUAAACAUAGAAUGGUUUCUUCCAACGCCACUGCGCCCAAACAACUUCACCUGUAUCAGUUCCCCAGACUGAUUUUAUGUUCCAGAAAAUCAUAUCUGGGAAAUACAAGAUAUAUGCUUCGACCAUUUCCCUUUCUCGGUAUCAUAUAGAACCCAUAAUUGAUUAUUGUCACUAUAAUCACGGACUAAGACACCUAACUUUCCCUUGUAGUUUAUCAACGUCCAAAAGUUGAAAUCUAUUUGUAUAAACCUAAACUUUUCAGACUUAACAUUAAAGCAUGCUAUCACGUUAAUAAAGUUGUUAUGAGCUGCAUAAUACAAUAUCCCGUUGAUGCAUAUCCCCUUUCUGUAGUUCUGAGGAAAAUGGGGAAACUCACAUUCUAUCUUUCUCUAUGAUGGGUUUCCUUUCCCUAGCGUCAAGAUGUGAUGUUCUCUGGAGUUUAUUUGUCUUCUAUACUUUGUUACGGUCAUGCACAAAACAUUGAAUUGCUUCUCAAUAGGAUCAUACCCAAGAAAGCUUCUUAACUCAUUAUUCUUAGCUCUCACUUUAGGUAGAGGUAUUUUCUGACCCGUGCUAGGGUUACAUAGCACAGGAACCCUUUCCAUCUUUCCCUUUAGCAUCUGCUUUUCGUAAAGAUAGACAAAACCGUUGGCGGAUAGACAAAACCGUUGGCGGAUAGACAAACUUCUUUGUACCAAUCUCCAGAUACACCCAUAUGAUAAUCCGGUGCUACAACACUUAUGUUCUCAUUAAAAUGAAGCUGAGGGGAUGAAAAGAAGUGCCACUUGCCUUUGAAUUCAAACGUGAACAAAAGUUGUGGCCGAGUGGAUGAACUCGUCAGGAACGAUUUUGCGAAAUGUGGACUGCUAAGUAUGGAAUCCCAUUCCUUCGAGACACAUCGACAUAGUGCAAUGGCUUUUGCUGGUAUUCUCUUGAGGAUCUCGAUGAUGAGAUCGAUGGGAAGCGUCUCCGAGUUUACUCCUACAUACGUUGAAGAGUUUUUUGAUGAUUGUGUGUGGCCUUUGAUGAUUUUAAGGUGUUUCACCGGAUUGUUGUAUUUCUCUAGGCUCAUGACGAUUUUUGCUAUGGUCUGGGAAUGCAGAUAGCUAAGACAACAGGAGGUAAUAUACUAUAGGCUUAUCGAAAAACAUAUCCUGAUAUUUUACAUUAUAUUUUUAAAAUCUUUAGUUUCCUUUUCUUUUUAAUAUGGAAUCUUAAGUAUCCUAUUGUGUCUUUUAUUUUUCCACCAUUCAUGAACCAAAAUUUGAAUUCAUGUGGCAACAAAUAUUCUUUUUAGUACCAUAAUCUUAUUAAGAUGUUGAAUUCUCUACUUGUUAGUAAAAAGAAAAUUACAUUUUAGUACAUUAAUAAACCAUUGACUUUUACUGUGAUGACGAUAAGUCUGGGAGAAAGAGGUGAGUGGAGGAUUGGCACUGAAAAUGGAUUUAGCGGAUGGAAGAUUCAGAAAGAAGAUUGGUGGAUGCCGAUUUGAAAAUAUGCUAUCAAAGUUGAUGAAAGACGGAAAAAAAUUAUCCUCGGAGUGAAGGACCUUGUAUAUAAGAGCGGUGGGCUUCUGUGGAGGAUCCGACGUCGAUAAAGGAUGAGAAAAGAAGGAUAAACUAAGACAUCAUCAUCUGGAAAUUGUUGGGGUCAAAAUCGGUAAUGACGAAAUCAAUGUCAAAAAGUUCUCGAGAAACCUUUUUGUAAAAAAAUUAAAAAUAUGGAAAACUAAAACUUCGUAUUUUUAAGAGUAUUUGCAUGACAAGGUCCUCGGAAGGGAUCAUUUAAUCUCUCGAAUAGAUGUUGCCAAAGCAUCAAGACAAGCAAACCAGCAUCGUACGACCCGCCAUCGGGCAAAUUGGAUUAGCCAAGUCUAAAUCACCAUUGAGAGUUCCGGAGACGACAAUGCAUGGUGUGGGACUGACCCAACUCGCCCACAUCCAAUCCAACUCAACAUUGGGCGAGUUGGAUGCAUCAUGUCCAACUUGCCCGAUGGCGAGUUGGAUCAGUCUUGUCCAAUUCUCCAUUAAGUGAGUUGGAUCAGUCCCACACCAUGCAUUCUCAUCUCCAAAACUCCCUCUUUCGGGUCUCGGUCAAACUGUCUCUUGUUUCGUCCCGAUCGGAGUUACCGUUAAAACUUUACGAUAAAAACAACGAAGACUUAUUUUCUCAUAUAAGUUCGGAUCGAUCGUAUAAAAUGAUAACGCUUAGCUUAAUAUAAUGGUUAUCUGAGAUAUACUACUGAUUUCCGCUAUCUCGUAAAAUCGACGUCGUACUAAAGGCAAAUUCGGAGAUAAAUGUCAAGUUUCAAGGGAUAAUCAUCAAGAUCGGAAAAAAUAGAAUAUUCCUGCGAUAAGAUAAACUCGGCCCAAGGGCAGAAAAGGAAAGCCCAGACUGACCUAAAAGGAGUAUAUAAGGGACACGAAAGCGACAUGCGCAAGAGAGAACUUUUACACACACAGCAAACUUAGCACUUAGAGCAAUAUUAGGCAAUUUUCUGUUUUUGUUAUCGAGCUGCGACUCAACUAGGUUUUCAAGUCUUAGGUGGUUAGAACUAGGAACUCGCCAGCAGCUCUUACGACCAAGGUUUUACCUGUUGUAAACGCUUAUACACAAAUUUGGAAUAAGAUCUUCUUUGCUCUCUUUUUACUUUAUUCAAGUUAUCAUUUUCGUCUGUUUAUUUAUCUGAUUGCUUGAGGUUUGGCUUAGCAGAAAUCCGGGACCUCUGGGAAAUUUAGGAUUUCCUAACUUUCCUAAUUUUAUGGAAAUCGACUGUGCGAAUUUCGGCACCCAGAGAAAUCUUGGGUUUUAACUCUUUUUAACAGUGUUCUUCUCCAGGUGGAAGAGCAAUAUCAAUUGUAUACAAAGUAUAACUUGCUCUGACAAACCAUAUUCUUUCAAAAAGGUGGCAAUACGUAGAUAAGCUUCGGUCACUCUUGCUUCUUGGCAUGGUCAAAAACUCACAGCUCACAAGGAGUAAGAUGAUAGAGCUCAUCUCUCUAUGUAAGUUCUGUUUCUCAAGUCUACGUAAUCUUUAUGUGAUAUGAAUGGAUAAAAAGCAGUACUAGCAUGAAAAUAUUAAUGAGAUCAAUGUCGCAAAGAUUUAUGAAACAAACAAAAAAUCAAUAAGAAUAAAUCUUAAGAGCAUGUCCAUCAGUGGGAUGGACGUGAGUUUCUCAACUCUUAGAAGAAAAAAAAAUGAGAGAGACUGUCAAAAAGUAUCUAGAGAUGUUUUUAGAACUCUAUUUGAAACUGCUUUGUCAAAUGUCAUUAUAGGAUUAGUUAGAUUUCUGCUAUCACUUAAAUUUUAAGUCAAUAAUCUAUUUAAAUCAAAAAAAUUAUUAUUAUAAAUUUUAGAUACAUAUUUACGUUUCUAAACAUUUAGAUAUGUUCUUAGGACAGCCUUAACAGCAGUAUAUAACCAGUAUCUAUGUAUUAAACAAAUUAAAAAAUUGUUAAAUGUGGAGAGAGAACAAAAAUAAAUUUCCUUUUUACAUCCUCAACAAAAAAAAAUUGCGAUACUUUGACAUUAUGUGUCAUUCCAUAAUUGGUUUUACUUUCUUUAUCUGUUUUAAAAUUUAACCAUUAACUGAAUUAUAGUAAAAUAUUAAUAUUUUACAUGUUAGAUAUCCUUGUUAGAGCAGCUCCAACCAUAAUAUUUGGAAGGAGUUCUAAAACUUGAAAGAAAAGAUAAAAUCAGAAAAAUAAGAGGGAGAGUUAGAAAAAGUUUUCAAAAGUAAGACUUUUUAGGACCUCUUAGGAAACUAAAGCAAGAGAUGUCACUUUUCUAAUUUUUUAAAAGUUCUAAAAAUAAAUAUAUAAUUACAUGAUUAGCAUACUAAUAUAUAUUUUUUCUUUUAGAACCCUUCAGCACUUCCACCGUAUAUGUUGCUCUUAAUAUACUUAUGGUUGGACAUGCUCUUAGACUUCAGAAAAAAUAAUAAUUAAAGUCAAAUAAAUACCGUGAUCAGCUACGGAUUUAUUGCUGCAUCAUCAGAUUCUCAACAUGGUUUGUGAAGAUGAAAAUUGGUUCAAGGGCAUCUCGACACAUCAAUUUCUCUUCAAUUCCUUUGAUCUCAAUGCUUCUAACAUUUUGUCUCUCCACAUUGUAGUAGAAAACAUAAAAUUGAUAGGUCCAAGGACUUGGCGCCCAAACAAUUUCGCCCGUAUCAGUUUCUCAGAUUGAUCUUUUGGCCAUGAAAGCUCAAACUGGCAAACAAAAACUACGCUUUGACCAUUUAUUGCUCUUGUUAUAAUAAACGUCACCAUCAUCAAAGACAAGGGCACCUAACUGUCUCUUGUAGUUUAUCAACAUCAAGAAGCUAAUCAACACAGAGCUCUCUUCCUCUAUUUGUAAAAACCUAAAUUUCUCAGACUUAACAUCAAAGCAUGCUAUAACGUAAGUUAACUUGUUAAGAGAAAUGUAACACAAAAUCCCGUUGAUGUAUAUCCCGUUUUGGUGCAUCUCAGGAAAAUGCAGAAACCCAAUUUCUAUCUUUCUCCACAAUAGUUUUUAUUUCCCUAACGUCAAGACUUUUACUUUGAUGAUGACAAGGAUAAGAUUAGGAGGAGGAGGUCAGUGUAGGAUUGGCGCUGAAAAAGGAAUUAGUGGUGUUUGGAAGAUUCAUAUCGAAUAUUGGUGGAUGCCAUGAAAUUAAAUCGACCUCGGAGUGAAGGAACAUUGGAGUGGAUAUAAGAUAAAAGUAGCAUGAAAAAAAUCAAUGUCGCUGAUAAUUAAGAAAGAGAACAAAUCCAUAAGCAAGAAAAUUAAACCGCAAGAUUCAGAAAGGGUCUAGGUUUUUGACUUCAGCAAAAAUAAAUAUUUAAAAAAAAAGAAUAGCAAAGACCUUAUCGUCAAUUCCUUGGAUAUAAACUCUUCUAACACUCUGUCUCUCCACAUUGUAAUAGUAAACAUAGCAUGGUUUUAUCCAAGGCCAUUUCACCCAAACAAUUUCACACGUAUCAGUUCCCCAGACUGAUUUUAUGUUCCAGAAAUGCUUUGACCAAUUCCCUUUCUCGGUAUCAUCUAAAACCCGUAACUGAUUAUUGUACCUAAAACUAUCAUCUAAAUCCCUAAAACUAACAUUCAAUCCUAAAACUAACAUCCAAAACUAUCAUCUAAAUCCCUAAAACUAACAUUCAAAUCCCUAAAUCCAACAAACUAACAUAAAAAUAAUUUAACGAUCUAAGCUUAAUACAAAAACUUACCUGAUAGAAGGAUAGGCAAGAAAGAGGGGUAAUUUUGAGUGUGUUAUUGAAGAGAGAGAGAGAGAGAGAGAGAGAGAGAGAGAGAGAAUCGAAUGCGAGAAGGAAAAGAGAUCGGAAAAAUUAACUUUUAAUAUUUUUUUGAUAGACACGCAUCCGUUGGGAAUCCAUCAUGAAUUUUUGCUUUAUGAUGUUCUCAAAAAUAUUCCCGCUUUCUUUUCCAGCUAAAUUUUUGAGAUUACAGAUGGAUUCUCGACAUAAGACAUAUUCCCUCGCGAAAUCAUCGAAAAUAUUAUUUUCAGCCAACAAUACCAUAAACCUUGAAUCGCACUACAGGAAAUGUGGGUAGUAAUAGCGGACGGAAAACGCUAUGAGUCAAGUAUAAUAGCGUUUCCUUGUCCGCUCUGACAGCGCCCGUUAUAAUAGGUUCGACCCUUUUAAUAGCUGUUUUUCUUUGUGCUAUAAUUAAGCGUACAACAAUAGCGCGUUUAUGUUGGCAAAUGUUAAUAUUUAUAAUAAUGUUACAGGAAAUGUGGGUAGUAAUAGCGGACAGAAAACGCUAUGAGUCAUGUAUAAUAGCGUUUCCUUGUCCGCUCUGACAGCGCCCGUUAUAAUAGGUCCGACCCUUUUAAUAGCGGUUUUUCUUUGUGCUAUAAUUAAACGUACAAUAAUAGCGCGUUUAUGUUGGCAAAUGUUAAUAUUUAUAAUAAUGUUGUACCAAUGUUAUUAAAACCUAAUAAUUUGAUUUUCCCAAUAACAAAGAUAGCAAAUGUUUCUGAUGGGGGAAGGAAAAGAGAUCGGAAAAAUUAACUUUUAAUAUUUUUGAUAGACCCGCAUCCGUUGGGAAUCCAUCAUGAAUUUUUGCUUUAUGAUGUUCUCAAAAAUAUUCCCACUUUCUUUUCCAGCUAAUUUUUUGAGAUUACAGAUGGAUUCUCGACAUAAGACAUUCCCUCGCGAAAUCAUCGAAAAUAUUAUUUUCAGCCAACAAUACCAUAAGCCUUGAAUCCACUACAGGAAAUGUGAGUAGUAAUAGCGGACGGAAAACGCUAUGAGUCAUGUAUAAUAGUGUUUCCUUGUCCGCUCUGACAGCGCCCGUUAUAAUAGGUCCGACCCUUUUAAUAGCAGUUUUUCUUUGUGUUAUAAUUAAGCGUACAACAAUAGCGCUUUUCUGUUCGCAAUUGUUAAUAUUUAUAAUAACGUUGUACAAAUGUUAUUAAAACCUAAUAAUUUUAUUUUCCCAAUAACAAAGAUAGCAAAUGUUUAGUGUUAUUAAUUAGUUUUUAAAUAAUCAGAAAAUUUAUUAAUAAUAAUUAUGAAUUGAUUUUUUUUGUGAUAAUUAAUUCAAAAAUUUGUAAUAAAAAGAAUAUAAAUUAUUAAAAAUCCAAAAAACUAUAUAAUUAUUUAAAAACCCAUACCACAACAAUAUCACAUUCAUACAAACCAUCACACAAACAUACAACCUAUCAAUCUACCACUAAUAAACCUUCACAAUCAGCCCUAACAUAAACACUAUCAUCAUCCGAAGCUUCAUCACCCAUAUCAUCAACUUCUUGGACAGGCAAAGGUGCACCACCUAAAUCCUCUUCUGUUUCCAACUCAUGAUAACCUCUAGGUGGUGCUCUCAUAACAACAUACCAAUUUGAAUGAUCAUCCUCCCUAGAGUAGAAAACCUGUUUCGCUUGAGAAGGUAGAAUGAAUGGAUAUUUCAAAUAGGCUGCUUGGUUCAUAUGAAGGUUAACAAGAGUGAAGCCAUCUUCUUCCUUCACACCAUUCCAUGUGUUUGCCCAGUUGCAUCUAAACAAUGGCACUUUGAACAUGUGAUAGUCGAUGAGUAAAAUAUCCUUUAUCACUCAAUGGUAUGUAAGCAUAUCAGCGGCCUGUCUCAUAUCUCGUGCACUUGAUCUACACAUGCUAAAGGCUUCAUAGGUUACUCCACUGUUUUGUGUCUUCAGCUUGACCGCAUCAGUAUGAAACCGUUGCCCAUUAAUGAUGAAUCCUUUAUGUCCUAAAGCAACAUUUCUUGCUCCAAAUGCCAACCACCUUAUCUCCUUAGAAUGACUAUCCGUUGAGUUUGAAUGAAUCUGCCGCAGGAAAUCAGAACAUGAUCAUGAAGCCAGAGGUCGUAAAAUGAUAAUCAAAACAUUAUAAUAUGUACCACGAAACCAAUCAUCAAUCUACAAGCUAACCAGUCAUCAAAAUACUAAAAUCCAGACAAGUUCAUCAAGCUACAAGCUAAUCAGUCAUCAAGACACAAGCUAGCCAGUCAUCAAAAUACUAAAAUCUGGACAUGUUCUUCAAUCCACAAGCUAACCAAUCAUCAAGAUACAAGCUAACCAGUCAUCAAAAUAUAAGCUAACCAGUAUUUACAAUAAUAAUCAAGAAAAGAAGAUGGAGUUGGAAACCUUAUUUUUAGGCCAUUCUGCAAGGUGCUCAGUAUGGUUUUUCCAUAACAAAGUUUCAUUUCUAGCAAAUCGAGCAUCCUUAACUUGUAACUCUUCCAAAUGCAUCCUGAUUUUAAAUUAAACAACAGUAUAUGAAAAUGAAAUUAUAAGUAAAAAUAGUAGAUGAAACAUAGAGAAUAACUUACUCAAGAAAGAGAUCCAAAGAUGCCAUGUUCAUUAGCACAUAACGAUGUGCAAUGUCUCUAUCUUUAUCUGAAAGGGCAACCUCUAUACCCUUAUGCAGAGGUUGGCCUUCAACCACCAUUCUGUCAGCCUCAACAUCUUCAUUACGAUUAACUGCUUCUUGAACUGGUACUGAAUCUUUAAGGAACUCUAAACAAAAUGCAACGCAUUCUCAAGCUAAAUACGCCUCAGCCAUACAUGCUUCUGGCCUUGCAUAAUUCUUAACAAAAGUCUUUAGUGUUUUCAUGUACCUAUAACUCAAGUCAGGAAAUAUGAAUUAGUAAAACAUCAUUGCGGGAAAUACAUAUAUUGAAGCAAAUGAGUACAUCAAACCUUUCGAAGGGAUACAUCCCGCAGAAGUGUACUGGUCCUCCCAAGCGUAUCUCUUUUGAUAGAUGUAUUGGAAGGUGGAACAUGAUAUCAAAAAGGGCUGGAGGGAAGAAGCGCUCCAGUUGACACAUUGUUUCCACAAACUCUGUCUCCAUGGAUAUAAGUUUCUCCGGGUCAAUGAUGCGCUGACACAACCUGUUUAAGUAACUGCAUAAUCUAUUUAUGGCUAUCCUAGGACCCCUAUGUAACAACCCUCUUAAUGCAGCUGGUAACAAGUUCUGUACUAGGACAUGAUGAUCAUGCGACUUUAAACUACCAAUAUUUGGAGGGUUAACUGAAACACUAUUCGCAAUAUUGCCACAAUAACCAUCAGGACCUCUACACUUAGCUAACCUUUGGCAGAAAAUGGUCUUCUCUUUCUUCGAUAACCAGUAGGCAGCAGGAGGUAAGUAUGUUUUCUUUCCCCUCACUUCUGUGUGCAAGUGCUUUCGGAUUCCAAUAUCUUCUAAGUCUUUUCCUGAUUCAACCCAUCUCUUGACUUCGCACUUUGCAUCAAGAGAGACAAUAUAGCAUCCGAUACAUUCUUUUCUACGUGCAUAACAUCAAUAUUGUGACGAACAAGCAAAUCCUAACACAUUAAACAAGAAACUGUUAGGCAUAUUCAUAUACAACAAUCACAUAAUAUAGGUCAGUUAAUUACUAUACUUUACAUUCCAGUAAGGUAGUUCAAAGAAUAUUGAUCUCUUCUUCCACCGCCAUAGUUCAUUUGAUUCUUCACACUCUUCUUCUUGAACCCUCUCAUCAUCUUCCAACUCUGGUCUUUUCCUUUUUUUUCCUUCUCUAGAGGUCUAUCAAAAUCAUUCCUAAAAGCUUGUAGUGUCUCAUAUAUCUCAGGCCCAGUUUGUAUCAUAUUUGCAUUCCCUUCCUCCACAGUGUUGUCAAACCAAGUUUUUUUAUAUCUGUAACGAGGGCCAGGCGGUAAUCUCUUUCUGUUUCCCAUGUAGACAAACUUGCAGCUAAACUUAAACCACCUUGCAGGUGUAUCCUUUCCACAUACAAUGCAGGCUUGUUUCCCCUUUACUUUACAUCCAGUCAGUGUUCCUAAGGCUGGAUAGUCACUGAUACUCCAAAGCAGCAAGGCUCUGAGUUUGAAAUUCUCCUUCGCAAAUGAGUCGUACACUUCAAUACCCUAAGCCCACAAAUCUUUUAGAUCGUCUAUCAGUGGUGCUAGGUAAACAUCUAUGUUAUUACCAUGCGCUGUUGGACCAGGGAUUAACAAUGUCAACAUUAUAUUCUCAGCCUUCAUACACAUGGUUGGAGACGUGUUAUAGUUCACUAACAACACUGGCCAUGUGUUGUGAUUGGUGUUUUGCAUGGAGAAAGGGUUCAUCCCAUAUGUAGAAAUCCCAAGUCGAAAAUUCCUUGGAUCAGCAGCAAAGUCUGGCCAUUUAUCAUUCACGUGUGCCCAAGAAAUAGAAUCAACGGGGUGUUGCAUUGUACCAUCUUCAGUGGCAUUGGUAUAGUGCCAACGCAGAUCUUCAGCCAUCCUUUUUGAUCUAAACAUCUUCCUAAAUAUGUUCUUGAUUGGAAAAUAUCUAAGGACCUUUGCUGGAAUUCCGACCUUUAUCUCAUUACUGUGCUUAUCCAUUUCUCAUCUUGAAACUUUGCAUUUUGGACAGCUUUCUAGGUUCUCACCUUCCUAUACAGUAUGCAAUCAUUCUUGCAAGCAUGAAUAUUGUCGUAGCCGAACCCAAAGAUCUUCAGAAAUUUCUUGAUUGCAGCUAAACUCUUGGGAAGGAUAUUGUCUUCAGGUAGCAAAUCCUCAAGUAAAACCAACAGCUGAUCAAAGUAGUUCUCCGACACACCACUUUUAACCUUGAAUCUGUAAAGUCCCAUGAUAGCUGAAUCCUUCGUGUGUUUGAUACAAUCCGAGUACAAUGGCGUUUGAGCGUCUCUUAGCUUUUUUCUAAACUCAGUUUCCUCUGGUGCUUCAUCAUCUUCAUUUGUCACUACCCCAUUGUCAGUUGUCUGAUUUGGACCACCUUCAUCCAUAGAGAAUGCUGUCUUAAACAAAUCAAAUGCCUCCGCUUCAUAUUGAAGAACACUGUCUUCUGCAGAAGAUUUUUUUCACCAUGAAUACUCCAACAAGAACUCUUAUACUUCUUAUCCAUACCCCUAAUCACCAAAUGCUCCACAAUUUUAUCCAGUGAGUGAUGGCUUAGAUUGCUGCAGUCUCUACAAGGGCAUAACAUUUCAAACAGACUUCCCAAUAUUCUUGCUGAUGAAUUCACGAAAUUAGUUGCUCCUUCUGAGUACUCGUGACUAUUCCUACAAGAAUCAGACAAAAGAAGUUAGCUUUCUUUCAAUCGGCGAGUACAAGUGAGCUCGAGAGAUUUUAGGUUAUACCUUGGAAGCCAAAUCCACGUCUUAUCCAUUUGAUUUCUUUUAAUCGGCGAAUACAGGAACAGCUAGUGUGAUUUUAGCUCGAGAGAUUCAUUUGCUUUCUUUAGGGUUUGUUCAAAUCAAAGCUCGCGAGACAUAAGGCGAGAUGUUGUGUUCUGAAAUUUUCCAACGCAAACAGAGACAAGAAAAAUGAAAGGUUGUGAUCAAAGUUAUGGAGAUAAAACGAACGGUGUAGGAUUAAUCAGAGUGUAAACUUAGUGGUUGCUCCUCAUUGGCUCAGAAAAGAGCGGCUCAGAUCAAAGUUACCAAGACGAAUCAAGAGUAUUAAUUUUGUUUGAAAUUGCCACGUCUACAAUCUUGGAGGUUACUCCUUAUUGGCUCAGGGUAUUAAUUUCGUUUGAAAUCUGAAAAUUAACAUAUAAAAUAGGAUAUUAAGCAAAAAUAUAUAAAUUAAAUCUUAAAAAAUAAAAUAUUAGUAUUCGAAUUUUUAAAAAGUUAUUUCUUAAAAAUUUAAAUUUUUUAUAUGAGCUUUUAUAAAAUUGAACAAUAUAACUCAUAUGUUCAUAAACACUGCUACUUAUUUGUAUGUACAAAGGCUUUAGGGUAUAGGGUUUGAACAAAUUAGUGUUUAUAAAAUUUAUAACUAAUGAGUUUUAUGAAAUUAAGAUUUCAAUAUCAUUUUUAUAGUGACCAAAAUUGCGAAAUCAAGACAAUUAGGGCAUUGGGUAUACGUUUGUACUUUAGGGUUUAGGGUUUUCACUUUAGGGUAUAGGGUUUUAAUUUUUGGUCUUAUCGUUUAUGGUUUUAAUUUUUAAAGCUUAUGUUUCAACGUAAAAUUAUGCACUUUAGGCUAAGGGAUCAUAAUAUUACACAUAAUAUUUGUUUUUGUUUGUUAACCAUAACAUAAUAUUACACAUUAUUUAACCGAGCAUAUAAGUACUUAAACAUUCUAUCACAUACUAGAAAUACAUAACCGACAUAACAACUUGAAAACUGUUUCAGAUGACAAGUUUUAGACGAACUUGAUUUUGUCAUUUGGCCAUGCCACAACCGAACCUAUUGCAUCAGACAUGUAUCCAUUUAUUUCCUAAUGCUUUGCAGCCAAUUGGUAAAUCUGUUAUGUACCAUGUAUAAUUUUGCAUGAUAGAAUCAAAUUCACUCCUGACAGCUUCGUUCCAAAAUGGAGCUUCUGGUGAAGCCAUGGCUUCUGCCAAAGUUUUUGGAACAUUUUUGACUAAAAAUGCCAUUAGGAAAUCUUCACCAAAAGAUUUUUCCUUUCGAGCUCUUUUGCUUCUUCGAGGUUCAUCUUUUUCUUCAUUUUCGGAAAUAUUAUUUAUAGAAAUCUCGAAGUUUAUCUUAGUUUCUGAGUUCUUGUCAUUGUCUCUUUCUUCUCGAGUUCGUUUUGAACCUUGUUUUUCUUUAUAUGGAAAAAUAUUUUCGGAAAAAAUGCAUUUCUUGAUUUCAUGACUGUUUUUUCAUGGCUGUCUGAAAUUUCAGAUUUAUGUACUAGAAAUCGAUAUGCAUUACUAUUAUCUUCAUAUCCGAUGAAAAUGCAAUCCACAGUUUUAGGUCCAAUAGUGAUCUUUUUUGGUGGCGGUACCGCAACUUUUGCCAAGCACCCCCACACUUUGAGGUAUUUAUACAAAGGUAAAUUACCUUUCCAUAAUUCAUAUGGAGUUUUUCCAGUUACUUUGUGUAGAAUUUUGUCGAGGAUAUAAUUAGUGGUGAGCAACGCUUCCCCCCCCCCCCCACUUGUUUUGGGGUAACCCAGAUUCCUGCAACAUUGUAUUCAUCAUCUCUUUUAGGGUUCGAUUUUUGCGUUCGGCAACUCCAUUAGAUUCUGGUGAGUAAGGAGCUGUAGUUUGAUCGAUUAUUUCAUGUUCUUUACAGAAUGCAUUAAAUGGACCAUCAUACUCGCCUCCUCUAUUGCUUCUAACUACUUUAAUAGUUGUUUUGAGCAGAUUUUCGACCUCGAGUUUAAAUUCUUUGAAUUUUUCUUAGGUUUCAUCUUUCCUAUGUAAUAAAUAUACAUAAUAAUAUUUUGUGCAGUCAUCUAUGAAGGUCACAAAGUACUUUUUCCCACCUCUAGUUUGUAUAUAUUUUAAAUCACAUAAAUCGGUGUGAAUUAAAUCUAGAGGUUUGUUAGUUCUUUCAACACGAGGUGAUAGCGUUUUUGUGAGCUUAGCCUUUACGCAUACUUCACAUUUUUGUUUAUUUUUUUUGCAUUUAAGAAUUAGAUUUAAAUUCAUUAAUCUUUGUAUAGAUUUGUAGUUUACAUGGCCUAAUCUUUCAUGCCAUAUAUUAAAAGACUCAACCAAAUAAGCAACUGGCUUUUUCUUAUUUAUUGAAACUUUUGGAGCUACAACUUUCGGAGGGACUGUCAUUACAUUCAUCUUGACAAGUCCAUCCUUAACAUACCCCUUUCCCAAAUACAUCUCAUUCUUCUUAAUCAGGAGCUUGUCCGCCUCAGGACUUGUGGCGAAUCCAUUCUUGCUGAGCAAGGUUCCCGAGACCAAGUUCUUCUUCAUGUCAGGCACAUGCUUCACAUUCGUCAGAAUGACUUCACGUCCAGAUGUCAUCCUCAGAAUCACAUUGCCGUGGCCUUCAAUCUUGGAGACUGCAAUGUUUCCCAUGAACAACUUCUCCUGAGUCUUGCUUUUCUGAUAAGUGCUGAACAUCGCUCUAUCAGUGCAAAUGUGGGUGGUUGCUCCUGUGUUAUGCCACCAUUCCUUGGGGUUGUUGCCUUCAAUCAUGUUGGCCUCAGUCACCAUUGCAACGAGAUCCUCCUCAGUGAGAUUCGCUUGAUGCUUCUUAUCUCUGAUCUUCCUGCGACACUCAGCAGUCUUGUGUCCAACUUUGUGGCAGUAGUGACACUUCCCCUUGAAUAUCUCCACAUUCGCAUUGAUUUCAAUGCCUUUGUUCUUGAAGUUUUAUCCAAAAGCUUUCAGGGCUUCAGCAGUUUUGGAAGGCUUGGCAAGAGAAUGGGUGUGUGCCUUUCCUUUGCCUUUGUGCUCAGCCAUGUUGACACUGUGCUCGUUAGCAGUGACCUUGUCAGCAGUUCGGUUUAUGGAUUCCAUCUAAAGCCUCAUUAUGAGCUCCUCGAGCCCUGGCCCAUCUUUUUCUUUUUGUGCUUCAAGUAGUUCUUGAAAUCAGCAUAGCUUUGAGGAAGCUUUUCAAUGAAGCUGAGAAUUGUGAAUGUCUCGCAGAUGGACAUUCCUUCAGCAGCGAUUUCAUGGCAAAUGAGCUGAAACGCUUCCACCUGAUCCAUGAUGGGUUUUGAAUCCACCAUUUUGAAGUCGUAGAAUUUUAAGACCACAUACUUUUGGCAGCCAGCAUCCUCACCUCUGUACUUCUUAUCUAGGGAUCUCCACAGCUCUUUCACACUGAGAAUGUCACAGUAGACUCGGUACAAUGGGUCAAUGAGACGACCUAAAAUGUCCAAAAAUAAUCUUAUUGGACCGGGGACCCUCCACCAAGACCCACGCUUGAGCCGAGCCGGCCGGACGGCGGCGGCACGUGCGUGACGUGGGGAGAAAUCCUAUCCCCUGAAGUCGUUUAAGCAAUGAUAGUAAAGGAACAUAUAUAUAUUGCUUCAUUUUUCUCUUGCCAGGCGACGUGGGACUUUGCUCCACUUCUUCGUUCAUUUAACUUAAGCAAACAAUGCUUUUUUAUUAAAAACCUGUAGGUCCAUUUCGUUUUCACAUUUGACCAUUUAUUAUUUAAGCCAAUAGGUUAAAUAAUUAGGUGCAACAUCAUGUGCUUUUAUGGUUGUCAUCAAUGCUUCGACCUCCAUUAUAUUACGGUUUGAAAGUAUCAGCUAGGCAUUGCCGCAUGGACCUCAGACUUUCUUGAGUCCAUUGUUUCCUUAUGGGCCUAAAGGACACUAGACCGGGUUCUCAGACCGGGUAUGUAGGCGGAGUGAAAUUCUCCAACAAUAGCCCCACCUCCCCUCCGAAGUUCGGCGUGACUCAGGUCGUCAGACAGGUUGUGGGUGUUGAUUCCGACGUGGGUGAUGUAUUUGAGACUGGUGGUCUAUGUGUUUCAAGGUCCAGUUCGAGAUUCUGGUUUGGCGAAUUAAUUACACGAUUUGGUUGAUGUAAAUCAAUGGAUUUGAUUUUCCCCCUUAGAAAGUGGUUGUAACGUGGCAAUCAUUUCUUUUUGCGGUUCCCAAUUUUCAGAAUAUAAACUUUAUGUCUUCUUUUUUGUUUGUCACUUGCAUUUGCUAGAGAAAACUGAAAAUUGUUGUUCCUAAUUUUCAGAAUGUAAACUUUAUGUCACUCUCUAUUGUGCGGCACUGUUCUUGUCCGGUUUCCUUCUUGAUUUUCCGUUUGAUUUUACUUCUUAUGUCAUAAUUGUUGUUUUCAAGUUUCACCUUUGGUAUCUUGCUCUGAUUUGCCAGAAUCGCCGUCUUCUUCGUUGAGACUUAUUGUUUUGUGAAUACGAUUGCUAGGAUUUUAUGACGCGAGUGCUUGCUCUGAUGAUCAAUUUUGUUGCUUAUCUUAUUUUUUUUGUAGCCGAGCCAGUAGAAUCUUCGUAUUUCGUAUCUGUCUUUGUUGCUAUUUUGUCAUUAUGCGUACAACUGUUACAAUCUCCAACCUUGUUCAGAAGGCGGCUGAAUCUGCCAAAGAGAGAGAGAGAGAGAGGGGAAAAGGUAAAAGCUGCUCGGGAAGCGGCAGCUCAAGAGUUUCACUUUUAAUAUGGAAGUUCGGGAGGCAGUUCCUGAAACAAUUCAUGUCAUGGUCCCUCCUUAUGAAGCCGCUAAGCUUAGUUCUUCGGCAGGGCCGGGCCUGGAUACAAACCCAUCAAGCAUUUGCUUGAGGGCCGAUCAUUAUAAAAUCGUUUUUGGGGCCAAUUUUUCUAAUAAUUAGAUAGCAGAAAUGGUGCAAGAAGCUAUCAUAUGAGACCUCUCUGUUGGUGCCCUGGGUUCAAAUGCUGAGUGGUACGAUUAUGGGCUAAUUUUUUUUUUCUGGCUUCUA
Brassica rapa (field mustard) is the source of this 16027-nucleotide long non-coding RNA. RefSeq lists it as uncharacterized. The record is from RefSeq and is a predicted model, not a curated record. NCBI's taxonomy places the organism in Eukaryota, Viridiplantae, Streptophyta, Magnoliopsida, Brassicales, Brassicaceae.